AAAUAGAACCUGAAACCGUGUGCUUACAAGAAGUCAGAGCCCAAUCUAUGGGUGAUGGCGUGCCUUUUGUAGAAUGAACCGGCGAGUUACGUUUGCAAGCAAGGUUAAGGCCUAAAGGCUGGAGCCGCAGCGAAAGCGAGUCUGAAUAGGGCGACUUAGUUUGUAGGCGUAGACCCGAAACCGUGUGAUCUACCCCUGUCCAGGGUGAAGGUGCGGUAACACGCACUGGAGGCCCGAACCCACGUA
This 246-nucleotide ribosomal RNA is filed under the name Paenibacillus timonensis. RNAcentral describes it as "partial 23S ribosomal RNA". It matches the Rfam family "Bacterial large subunit ribosomal RNA", at positions 541 to 786 of the family's 2925-position model. Lineage: Bacteria; Bacillati; Bacillota; Bacilli; Caryophanales; Paenibacillaceae. The record is from RNAcentral.